UGGGGAAUUUUGGACAAUGGGCGAAAGCCUGAUCCAGCAAUGCCGCGUGUGUGAAGAAGGCCUUCGGGUCUGAUAAGCACUUUUGUCCGGAAAGAAAUCCUUGGCUCUAAUACAGUCGGGGGAUGACGGUACCGGAAGAAUAAGCACCGGCUAACUACGUGCCAGCAGCCGCGGUAAUACGUAGGGUGCAUGAGCUGUAAUCGGAAUUACUGGGCGUAAAGCGUGCGCAGGCGGUUUGCUAAGACCGAUGUGAAAUCCCCGGGCUCAACCUGGGAACUGCAUUGGUGACUGGCAGGCUAGAGUAUGGCAGAGGGGGGUAGAAUUCCACGUGUAGCAGUGAAAUGCGUAGAGAUGUGGAGGAAUACCGAUGGCGAAGGCAGCCCCCUGGGCCAAUACUGACGCUCAUGCACGAAAGCGUGGGGAGCAAACAGGAUUAGAUACCCUGGUAGUCCACGCCCUAAACGAUGUCAACUAGUUGUUGGGGAUUCAUUUCCUUAGUAACGUAGCUAACGCGUGAAGUUGACCGCCUGGGGAGUACGGUCGCAAGAUUAAAACUCAAAUGAAUUGACGGGGUCAUAGCUGUUUCCU
This 588-nucleotide ribosomal RNA is filed under the name uncultured bacterium. RNAcentral describes it as "partial 16S ribosomal RNA". It matches the Rfam family "Bacterial small subunit ribosomal RNA", at positions 355 to 1375 of the family's 1533-position model. The record is from RNAcentral.